Prosopis cineraria is the source of this 1254-nucleotide long non-coding RNA. RefSeq lists it as uncharacterized. The record is from RefSeq and is a predicted model, not a curated record. The transcript is spliced from 2 exons. NCBI's taxonomy places the organism in Eukaryota, Viridiplantae, Streptophyta, Magnoliopsida, Fabales, Fabaceae.
AAAUAAAAAAACACAUCCAGGUGAACAAGUGAACAUCUUCUUCUGCCAUUUCUCUUCUUUCGCUAGGUAUCACAAGGGAGAUUAAAAGCAAGGAACAUGGCAAAUUGGAAAUGUUAGACCUUGGCGGUGUAGAUUGACAGCAAAGAGGGAGCAAACUCGACAUCUUCGAGCUGGUCUUUGAGAGAUCAAUGGCAUUGAACUACACGACUCGGUGACAUGAUGAGCAAGUUUCGACGAAAGCAAUACACAUAAAGAUGGGCUGGGCUUGACGGCAACUUCAAGCGAUGAACGGACAAGCUUGCGUGGUGAGGAGAGAACUAAAUCGUGGGGGGUUUGCUAGACUGCUCAAUCUCUAAUGGUGGGGGUCCAUCGAUUAUUAAAAAGGGUCGGGAUUCGAUUGACUUAGGGAUUGAACAGAAGGUAGUGAGAAGAGAGCAGAUCGAGGAAGAAAGGGGACGGAGACGAUGGUGGAUUCUUCAUCGAAGGUAUUGUUGCACUCAAGCACUCUUCUUCUACUUGUGCACCUUGUGUCUGUGAUUGCUCUUCUAAACCCGUCCUCUCUACACCCCAAGUUUACUGGAAACAUGUUCUGAAUGAACUUUCACCUUCUUUGCUGCGAGUUGUUGCCGCUGUCAGACCUUUGCUGUCGCUAGUAUUGACUGAGUUUGCCAUUGUCAGUUGCCAGAAGUUGCCACCAGAGAUGAGUAGAUGUGUUGUCGUUAGAAGCUUUUUAGUUUGCAGCGCCACUCUCCUGGCCUCAUAGGUCAUGCUGCAAUGUCUGGUUUGCAUCGUUCGAAAAGGCUGCAAAUUCGUUGGAGAUGGCUAUAGACAGAGAGAGCUCUAGGACCGUUGGAGAUGGAUGCUGGCGCGUCGUCGGCACCGUCCGUCCAUCAAUGUCCGGUGCCUUCUACUUCUGGUUUGUGCUUUUACAGUCCGAUGGCUGGAGAAGAAGCAGGAAUUGCGUCAGAGAAGUGGAUCCUGGGGAUCUAUUUCUUUAAGACAGGCUAGUUUUUUUGUUUUGUUUGGGCUUGGCACAUUAAAAAAAAACCGCCCAACGUGUGAAAUUUUUACUCAAGUGAGAUGCAAUUGGGCUUUACCUCAGCCCAGUACAAUAUAUAAUUAAAAAAAAUCAAGUUUUGUAAAUCACAUUUUGGCCGAGACCAAAAUUACCUCCUGGGCCCAUAAUUAUUUAUAUUUAUGUCUUGACCCCAAAUAAUUUUUAUCAAUUACAUAUUAGUCCCUUAACUUUUAAAA